AAUAAGAAUAGCAACAAAUUUAUUGUAAUAACAAAAUAGUAACAAAUUUAUUGUCUAAAAAAAAAAACUAUAAUCAUGCACUGAAAAACAACCUUUCGUCAACAAAAGAAUGGCACAAAUUUCCAUUGAUAAAGUAUAAGAUAACAGAUAGUCAGUAUCUAACUUGUUUUAAGUUUUUUUUAAAGAGUUGUUAUCAGAUUCAAAGAUUGAAGAAGAUAAUUUUUCUUCACAUUUUAUUGAUGAACAGAAUAAAACCAAGCAAAGUUCACAUUGUCAAAGAGUUUCAAGUUUUAAUAUGAGUAUUUUUGGUUUUUA
Hydra vulgaris (swiftwater hydra) is the source of this 315-nucleotide non-coding RNA. The record is from RefSeq and is a predicted model, not a curated record. Lineage: Eukaryota; Metazoa; Cnidaria; Hydrozoa; Anthoathecata; Hydridae.